GCGCAGUGCGCCGGGGUGGUUCGUCCGGGUACGCGGGUGCAAGCCCUGCGCCAAACCGCUUAAGGCGAUAUAUUUUUGGUGGACUGGACUGCGGGCGGUUUAGUGGGUUUGGGGUCGCGGAGUUUGUUUCGGGGCGACGCGCACGGGGCUAGCGGCGCUCCUUGGUCGCUCUCUGGGGCCUCGGUCUCCUCCUCCUCCUCCUCUACUCGAUGAUGUUGGUCGUCGGUGGGCAGCCGCGGGGCGGCGGCGUUCCCAUGCCCCUGUUCCCGCCGAUGGGCGGCGGCCCCAUGGGAGGCCGGCCGAUGGGCGGGGGCCGCGUCCCGAUGGGCGGUCGGCCGAUGGGGGUCGUCCCGAUGGGCGGCGUCAUGCGCGUCGUCGGCGGCGGGGUGGUCGUCGUCGUCGUCUCGUCGCCCGGAAGGAAGUACCUCCCUACGGACCGGCGGGAAACGACGACGACAGAGGACCUGCGGACGAAGACUCCUCCCUCCCUCCCUCCUUCUGCUGCUAGUUGAAGCACGUUGACCCUGACUCGAUAGGAAGAGACUGCCUCUUUACGACGAUCAUCGAAUUAAUAAUAAAGAGCAGCCCGUAAUAGCGGAGGAAACAAACUAGGUACAAAUACUUGGAGAGACGUAACGUUGAUAAGCGAACCAACAGCUGACUACUAAUACAAUACGGACCACGGAAGGCACACAUAUGACACAGCCAAA
This 710-nucleotide ribosomal RNA is filed under the name Triticum aestivum (bread wheat). RNAcentral's name for it is "partial small subunit ribosomal RNA". Lineage: Eukaryota; Viridiplantae; Streptophyta; Magnoliopsida; Poales; Poaceae. The record is from RNAcentral.